RNAcentral lists this ribosomal RNA (301 nucleotides) under uncultured bacterium. Its description in RNAcentral is "partial 16S ribosomal RNA". It matches the Rfam family "Bacterial small subunit ribosomal RNA", at positions 509 to 808 of the family's 1533-position model. The record is from RNAcentral.
CAGUAGCCGCGGUAAUACGAAGGGGGCUAGCGUUGCUCGGAGUUACUGGGCGUAAAGCGCGCGUAGGCUGUCUCUUAAGUUUGGGGUGAAAGGUUCACGGCUCAACCGGAACAGUGCCUUGAAUACUGGGAGACUUGAGUUUGGCAGAGGAUAGUGGAAUUCCUGGUGUAGCGGUGAAAUGCGUAGAUAUCAGGAGGAACACCCAUGGCGAAGGCAGCUAUCUGGGCUAAAACUGACGCUGAGGUGCGAAAGCGUGGGGAGCGAACAGGAUUAGAUACCCCCGUAGUCCCUGUCUCUUAUA